UCAGGAAGCCGGUGAAAAUCCGGCACAGCCCCGCUACGGUUAGGAUGACGACGGAGACACACCGCCUCUGACUUCGGUCGGAAAGGCGUCUCCUAGGUUGAAUCCAAGUCCGGAUACUG
This is a non-coding RNA of Dethiosulfovibrio peptidovorans DSM 11002, 119 nucleotides long. The record is from Rfam. NCBI's taxonomy places the organism in Bacteria, Thermotogati, Synergistota, Synergistia, Synergistales, Dethiosulfovibrionaceae.